RNAcentral lists this ribosomal RNA (331 nucleotides) under uncultured bacterium. Its description in RNAcentral is "bacterial SSU rRNA". It matches the Rfam family "Bacterial small subunit ribosomal RNA", at positions 568 to 898 of the family's 1533-position model. The record is from RNAcentral.
UGUGUAGGCGGCCUUCUAAGUUUGGUGUGAAAUCUCCCGGCUCAACCGGGAGGGUGCGCCGAAGACUGGGGGGCUAGAGUGCGGGAUGGGAGAGUAGAAUUCCUGGUGUAGCGGUGAAAUGCGUAGAUAUCAGGAGGAAUACCUGUGGUGUAGACGGCUCUCUGGACCGCAACUGACGCUGAGACACGAAAGCGUGGGUAGCAAACAGGAUUAGACUACCCUGGUAGUCCACGCCCUAAACGAUGCAUAUUUGGUGUAGGUCAUUCAGUUGAUCUGUGCCGGAGCUAACGCGUUAAAUAUGCCGCCUGGGGAGUACAGUCGCAAGGCUGAA